This 225-nucleotide long non-coding RNA is filed under the name Mytilus galloprovincialis (Mediterranean mussel). The record is from RNAcentral. Lineage: Eukaryota; Metazoa; Mollusca; Bivalvia; Mytilida; Mytilidae.
UACGUUUUAAUUUGCAUAGGGACAGUAUAUUUGAAGAUGUGUGUGAUAAGGAUGAUUGCCGUUAUAAUUAUCAUUGAAUUCUAAUCACCAAUCAGUGUCAUCAAAGGAAUUUACAAAAAUUGACUGGACACUUCAUUGAUGAGCUUAUCCUAAAACACCUAUCUGUAGAUGGACUGGUUUUUUAUGAGCCAACCGGUUAAACUCCGCCCAGUCAAGUGAAAUAAA